Molecule: non-coding RNA, 64 nt
Organism: Populus trichocarpa (black cottonwood)
Lineage: Eukaryota; Viridiplantae; Streptophyta; Magnoliopsida; Malpighiales; Salicaceae
Source: Rfam
UGCAGCUCAAAUGGUAGAGCGCUCGCUUUGUAUGCGAGAAGUGCAGGGUUCGAUCCCCCCUGCA